CCCUGCUCCUUACCUGCAACCACUCCUGACUUCUCUUUUCUUUCUCCAAGGACUGUGUCCAAAUGAGGCCGAGCUCUUCCUGACCCAGGUGACCUACACCGCCUUGGGGGAUACUGGCCAGUGCAUCCCUGGCCCCACCCCCAUAUCACAGAUGAGUGUUUUUGUCAGCUUCUCCCCAGAGUAAAAUCUUUCACUUUUCUGAUUGUGGAUAACGGUGACUGGCCCCAUGCCCUCUGCGAGGGGAGGCCUUGCCAGUCCCACAUGGGUGGGUGGACCUGCCAGUCCUUCCUCGGGCCAUCAGCCCAGGGUCAGCCUCCCAGAACCACUGAACAGAACCACCAUGGCUGAGUCUCAGCAGAGAAUCACAACAAACCGCCCCUACCCCGUCACGUUGGUCGCCCCGUGGCAAAGCGCCCCGUGUGGCCCUGGUCCUGUGUGGUGGGCAGAUCACGGGCCUGUGGGAGGGGCAGUGGUAUGACUUGCCCAGGGUCACACAGUGAGGCCUUAGCUCUCCGGCCACCUGCCCAGAAGGCUGUACUUCUUGGGCGGGUGCUGUACACAGGUAUGAGGGGUCCAACUUUCAGGAAAAGGAGGUGUGGCCUGGGCUCGGGCAGAUGGAGAGGUGGGGGCUCUUAGGGACACGCCCAUGCCAGGUGUGGUCAGGCUUGUCUCCUGCACUGCAGCCUUGACAUGUGUGGAACCACAGGCAUCCAAGCCCUGCUCUUUCAGCCCCUUGUAGCUGCCUUCCCAGCCCAUUUCUCAGAUUUACCAAUGGAAUCAGUGCUUGAGUGGGUUCCUGCAGCCCAGGGAGCGAGGAGCAAGACCCAGGGGGGACCACAGCUCCUAGCCUGGGACACAGUGGCAGGGCCAAGCUGGACAAGGAGUAGGGUGACCAACCAUCCUGGUCUGCCUGGGAGUGAAGGGGAUCCCUGGAACUUUCAGUUUGAAGACCAAGAAGGAAUUCCCUGAUGGUCCAGUGGAUAGGACUCCGGGCUUUCACUGCCAAGGGCCCAGAUGCUCCUGAUGAAGAGCAAAUCCCCUUCAGAGAUUCCAGCAGAUGCAAGACAGACGCUGGACACGCACAUGUCCAUGGUGGGCAGAGGAGUGGCUGGCUGGCCAGGGACACGCUGAGCUAUGUCCCCACCGUGGUGGUCAGCUUCAACCAUUUGUGGCCUUAAGGGAACUUGGUCCAGAUAUUACAAAUUUUCCAAGGUAAGCCAGAAGUGAGGCUUUUCUUGUAAACUCUCCUGAUUUUUUUUUUUUAAUUUUUUUUAUUUAACUCUCCUGAUUUUAAAGUGCUGGCCGACAAAUCAAGCCCAACAGCACAUAUCAGAGGCCUGUGAAUCUGCAAACCCCUAAGACAGCCACGCCCUGAUCAUUUAACAUCAGACCUGAAGGGCUCACCCACCACUUGUCACCUGGGGAGGCCGGGCCUCCAUUCCACAUGCUGCCAUGUACCCUCUUCAGAAAUGAGAGCUCCAAUCACAUUCUUUCCAGCAACCUCAUGGAUGCAAAUGGUGUUUUCACAAUGGAAUCUUGGAAAGAGAGCGAUCUGGAGCUCAAGUCUAGUGGUGACGAAGCCCAGAGGCUGGACUUUUGAGGUGACAAGGCUGGUCUCUGUGUGCUGCUGAGGCAGCUCCUAGGAGGUGCCCGAGGUGGACAGCUGAGGAUGGCUGUAAAUGUGAGUCUCUUCCGUUCCUACAUCAGCAGCUUUGCUUUUUAGCCAGUUUACACUUGAACGUGUAGUAGGUGGUUACUGACUCCUUCAGUUUUGCUUCUGAGACUCAAGGUUUGGGGAAAUUGAAGUUCCUGGUUCUGUGCUGCCCUUGAGUUCUGGGUCACGUGGCAUCUAUGUUGUCCCACCUCUAGCUCCCCUUGAGUGAGUUUUCCUGACCCCUUUGCUUGCCUGAGAGAUGCUCAGAGGCUCACACCUGGCAGGGCCUCAGCAUUGCUGGAAAGCUCCAGCCCUGCCCUCUGCCCCCUCCUGCUCCAGUUUCCGCUGUGCCUGGGGCCCUUGUUAGAAAUCAGAUUCCUAACCAGUUUGCAGGGCAGAAAUAGAGACACAGAUGUAGACAACAAACAUAUGGACACCUAGGGGAGAAAGUGGUGGUGGUGGGAUGAAUUGGGAUAUUGGGAU
Aethalodelphis obliquidens (Pacific white-sided dolphin) is the source of this 2137-nucleotide long non-coding RNA. RefSeq lists it as uncharacterized. NCBI's taxonomy places the organism in Eukaryota, Metazoa, Chordata, Mammalia, Artiodactyla, Delphinidae. The transcript has 3 exons. The record is from RefSeq and is a predicted model, not a curated record.